Molecule: ribosomal RNA, 505 nt
Filed under: uncultured bacterium
Lineage: Bacteria
Description: partial 16S ribosomal RNA
Rfam family: Bacterial small subunit ribosomal RNA
Source: RNAcentral
GAUGAACGCUGGCGGCGUGCCUAAUACAUGCAAGUCGAGCGCGACUGAUUACACCGUUCUUCGGAACACCGUAAUCAUCGAGCGGCGGACGGGUGAGUAACACGUGGGCAACCUACCCUUAAGACUGGGAUAACCGCGGGAAACCGUGGCUAAUACCGGAUAAUACUUUUAUACAACGGUAUAGAAGUUGAAAGGUGGAUUUCUAUCACUUAAGGAUGGGCCUGCGGCGCAUUAGCUGGUUGGUAAGGUAACGGCUUACCAAGGCGACGAUGCGUAGCCGACCUGAGAGGGUGAUCGGCCACACUGGAACUGAGACACGGUCCAGACUCCUACGGGAGGCAGCAGUAGGGAAUCUUCCGCAAUGGGCGAAAGCCUGACGGAGCAACGCCGCGUGUGCGAAGAAGGUCUUCGGAUCGUAAAGCACUGUUGUUAAGGAAGAACGACAGUAAGAGUAACUGUUUACUGUGUGACGGUACUUAACCAGAAAGCCACGGCUAACUACGUG